This is a long non-coding RNA of Oncorhynchus tshawytscha (Chinook salmon), 450 nucleotides long. NCBI's taxonomy places the organism in Eukaryota, Metazoa, Chordata, Actinopteri, Salmoniformes, Salmonidae. The record is from Ensembl.
AUACCACCACUACCUUGUCACAAAACAACUGAUUGGCUCGAACACAUUAAGAAGAAAAUAAAUUCCACAUAUCAACUUUUAACAAGGCACACCUGUUAAUUGAAAUGCAUUACAGGUGACUACCUCAUGAAGCUGGUUGAGAGAAUGCCAAGGAUCUCAAAUAGAAAAUAUAUUUAGAUUUGUUUAACACUUUUUUGGUUACUACAUGAUUCAUAUUUGUGUUAUUUCAUAGUUGUGUCUUUCUUCACUAUCAUUCUACAAUGUAGAAAACAGUAAAAAACAUAAAAACCCUUCAAUCAGUAGGUGUAUCCUUCAAUGUAUCCUUCAAUGUAUCCUUCAAUGUAUCCUUCAAUGAGUAGGUGUAUCCUUCAAUGUAUCCUUCAAUGUAUCCUUCAAUGUAUCCUUCAAUGUAUCCUUCAAUGAGUAGGUGUAUCCUUCAAUGUAUCCUUC